AUAUUUUUUUAUAUAGUUGGAGACUGGACAAAGAAAAACGAAAGCCACGAAACGGCGAAACUUCAACGAAAGCGAGCUUUCCUCUAUCUUGUUUUCCUCCAGAAAACUUUGUUCCCUUUUCCUCUCACACCGGUUCACACCCCGCCGAAACAUUUCCUAUACACCAAAAGCUUCGGAAUCUCGCUUAAGUUUCCUGGAAUCUUGGAUCAUUGGUCUGUGCUUCUAGUUAAGGUAACCAAAUGGGAUUGUGCUUUCCUUCAACACCCAAGAAACUGGCCAUGACUAUAGGAUUAUUUGCUUCUGGAGCUGCUCUUUUUGCUGUUGGCUUGCAUCAAUGCUAUGUCAACAUUGCUCCUCAACGAGCUCGUAUCAAAGCUCGUAAUGAUUUUGUCAGAGAACGAUUAAGAAAGAAAUAUGGCAAAGAAUAGAAGGAAUUAUGCUCGCUGCUCUAGCUACCCAACAACGGCGAGUUCGCUCCAAGUAAAAAUCCUAAUGAUCUCGGCUUAACUCGAAAAUAAAAGCAUCUGUUGUUACAAUCGGAAAUCUGUUAUGGAUACAACAUUAUUCAUUUUGAAAUUAUAUCUUUAUUUCAAUUUUGUUA
Populus euphratica (Euphrates poplar) is the source of this 601-nucleotide long non-coding RNA. RefSeq lists it as uncharacterized. The transcript has 2 exons. The record is from RefSeq and is a predicted model, not a curated record. Lineage: Eukaryota; Viridiplantae; Streptophyta; Magnoliopsida; Malpighiales; Salicaceae.